GGUUUACACUUGAUCUCUGAACUUCAGGUAGAUUCAAUUGUCGACAAGUUAUGUUUAUCCUUUGCA
Pyrus x bretschneideri (Chinese white pear) is the source of this 66-nucleotide small nucleolar RNA. RefSeq annotates it as small nucleolar RNA snoR101. NCBI's taxonomy places the organism in Eukaryota, Viridiplantae, Streptophyta, Magnoliopsida, Rosales, Rosaceae. The transcript has a single exon. The record is from RefSeq and is a predicted model, not a curated record.